CAGAAACAAUAAGUAUAAAUGUGCAUUCAAACAGACUAUAUGUUAAGUAAACAAAAUCACUUUUGAAAAAAGUAAAAUAUCUUAACCUAAAAAUUAGCCUGCUGGCAGCAAGUGAUUCUGCCUUUGUGACCAGUGCAGACCAAGAUCAACCUGCAUAUCCAUGCAGGCUCAUCUCGGUCUGCACUGUUCGCUAUUCAGUCAGUAAAUUUUCAAGAACACCCCUUCAAAUAAUAAAUGGUAUUGCCCAAAUUGAAUGAUGGACCAGUCCAUUUUAGAAAUUUAGCAGGGUAAAGGUAAAGUAAGAAUCUGCAUAAGUGUAAAAACUUUCACACCAAACUGUCUACAAUAUAGUGCAUCACAUACUGUAGAUUUGGGUAAUAUUUCACAAAAGUUUUAUUUUCGCAAGUAUUUGCAAACAGAGUAACAAGAGAAUUAAGAAAACACUCAUGAAUAUUAAAAAAAGUUAUCUCCCUUAGUAUAAACAUCUACCAUGCGCUAGUUCAUCAAAGCAUGGAAAAUGAUGUGAAAUUUACAAAGUCUAUAGUGAGCUACGUUUACAACAAUGCAAUGUAAUAAUUGGCAAAUCUAUGCUUAGUUUAUUUAGGUGUUCAGAUCGAGGUGACAACUUAGAUCAUAUGGCGACAUUCCAACUUUUAACCACAAAGAAAGACUGCAGAUUCCCCUCUGGGCAUUAUCAGCAAGCAGGAAGAGGCACUUGGGUAGAAUUACAGGCUUCCGACAAGAGAACUGGAUGGCUUUCUCACAUGAAAUCACAAGUGAAGUUUGAACCCACCAAGGUUUAUUUAAGAAAACAAAUUGACCUUAAAUUAUUCUGUUAGAAGAAAGGAGAAGAAUUGCAUCACAGUCAAUCAAACGAAAAAGAAGUUCUUCUGCCAGUAGAAAAAAGCAGUGAUGUGGAAUUGCGAGAAAUAUACAGUGAAACAACCGGCCGCAAAGGUAGGAAGUACAAAAUUUUAUCCACAGAUAUUCGUGAACAUUUUAACGAAUUUUAUUGCUUUUAUAUUUUAAUACAAUUUGCAAAAAAUUUCAGUAUGUAUAUACCAGAUAUAAUAAAGUCACAUGUACGCAGUUUGUGUAGUUGGAUAAUCGCAGAAAAGUAACCUCCCUUGGAUACUCUUCAAAAAUGCUGGUAAAGUUGUUGGAUUUUGAUGAAAUUUUCGGGCAAAUUUUUGCCACCUAUGUAAAAUGGCGAAAAAUACACGCCAAAAUUAAACCACUACAUUUUGGGCUAAAAGGGCGAAAAUUUGCCAACACGAAAAUAUCCCAAAGUACGGUAACCAUUACAAUGUCAAAAUCUUUAAAACAGAAUAGUGUAUAGUAUUGAUAUCAACAAGAGCUGUCCAUAAGAAAGUGCACUCAACUAUUCAAAAGCAACUGACACUGAUACAUACUUGCAUACUAAAAAUCUAAAUAUAAGUUAAAAAUUAUGAUAUUCUGAAAAAAAGUCAAUCAAGAGUUAUCUAACUUAGUAAUGUGACUAGAAAGCAUUUUCAAUGAAUAUAGUUAUUACAAAGCUAUGGCUUGAUAAACUUUUGAUAAUUUGUCUAACUAAAAAAGACAGUCAGAA
Molecule: long non-coding RNA, 1588 nt
Organism: Mercenaria mercenaria
Lineage: Eukaryota; Metazoa; Mollusca; Bivalvia; Venerida; Veneridae
Exons: 3
Source: RefSeq, a predicted model, not a curated record